This 821-nucleotide long non-coding RNA is filed under the name Pan troglodytes (chimpanzee). RNAcentral's name for it is "lncRNA (ENSPTRG00000052945.1)". Lineage: Eukaryota; Metazoa; Chordata; Mammalia; Primates; Hominidae. The record is from RNAcentral.
UUAAUCGCCUGCCGCUCGCCUCAGGAAGCCGCGGUUAUUUUUUUUGUCUCUUGUUUAACUUUGAUGUGUCGAGUGUGCGGGAACUCUCCGGUCUGGCCUCGCCGCCGGCCGCCUGAAGGGGGUGCGCCGCGGUGGGAGCCGCCGUCGCCGCUGUCACCGAGUCGCUGUCGCCGCCGCCGCUGCUGGUUGUGCGUGAGCGUGUGUGCGCCUGUGUCCUGGCGAGUGUGUGUCUGCGUGCGGCGCCCGGCCUUUACUAUAUACACCAAGGGGUGGGAGGAGGCGGGGAAGGGGAGGGCUUGGGGGAGGCGGCGGAGGAGGGGGAGCAGGAGGGGGGCGAAAGGGUACCCGAGGAGGCGGCGGCGGAGGAGGGACAGGUGAUCUCGCCCACGGGGAGGGCGUGGCCGUGGGCGGCGCGGGGUGCCAGGAGGAAGGGGUGUCGGGGCGGGGAGGGGGACCUUGGGGGGAGCGCCGGGGGAGGGCCGGAGGAGCGGGGACCCUACUGCCUCCCGGCGGGCUGGGGACCAUUCCAGACCCCAGGAUGGAGAAGAGCGAGGAACAGAGCCCAGAAGGGAGGAAGUGGCUGGCUGAUGGAAGUGGGGGAGGUGGGAAGGGCUCAGCGAUCACCCGAAAAUGCCAAUUGUGAUACCGGUGGAAGAUGCUUCUCACAAGGCUUCCCCUCGUCAGUGUUAUCUGCUCAGAAGUACAGUGAAAGCCUCUUCCCAGUGCUGCUGCUGAUGACACCAAAGACCUCAAGGACUCAAGGACAUCAAUUCACGGAAAUACUGCCCAUCCUACCACAAACCCUCAACCUCCAGUUGUAA